GCCCGCUGACCCAACAGAAGCCGCCGGACGACUCAGAAGCUGCGUCUGGGCUCCGGGAAGCCGGCGACUGCGGAAAAAUGAAUGAUUUCUGCACUGGGAUGAGCAGAACAGAAAACAUCACUGGAAAGGAUAAGCCCUUUGAUUUUGGAUUAUCAGAAUGGAGAACUCCAUCAACUUCCCUGAAGAUUUGUCUCACCUGGAGAUUAUAUAGAAUAUCCUGCAACUAUUAUUACGUUAAUGGAGGGUCAACAUGCUCCUACAGGACUUGUUAAGAAGAGUUCCCCCACCAGCCUGUGGAUGAGACCUGAAAUUCUUCUACCAUAAAUCCAAACUUUAGAAUAAAAUGCCAUCCCUCUCAUGGAAGACCUUGAGAGUUCCGCAGUGACCAUUAUCUUCCCCUUUUUCUUGACAGAUAAAAGCAGAGGAUGCCCACUUAAAUCUGAAUUUCAAAUAAAUAAUGAAUAAUGUUUGGUAUAAAUAUUUCCCAAAUAUUAUAUCCCUAUGCUAAAAAAAAACCACAUUUUUUUUCUUUGUCAGAAAAUCAAAUUUAACAAGGCAUCCUGUAUAUCUAUUUAUUAAACCUGGAAUCCUUCUGAUAACCAAAUGGAAAUUCUCUUUGUGGCAGCAGUCUGCCCAUCAGCAGACAUUAGGUCAUGAUUGGUCUAAAUUAAUCAUUUCCUCAUUUUCCCAGACUUUCUUGCAGCUGGGGGUGUAGUGUCCCGGUCGUUGAGACAUUAAGGGAAGUCUGUACAUAUAUGCAGGAUAUGGCUUGAAAAGACUUUUUUUUUUUUU
Molecule: non-coding RNA, 792 nt
Organism: Odocoileus virginianus texanus
Lineage: Eukaryota; Metazoa; Chordata; Mammalia; Artiodactyla; Cervidae
Source: RefSeq, a predicted model, not a curated record